CUGGAUCAAAGGGCCAUGUAGUCCAGGGGCUGUCUUCAAGAUGGUUUUUGUGUUGGAUAUCCAGGCAAGAAUAAGUCCAGAUCUGGUAAAUGUAAUACUUCCCCAAUGUUCUCCUACCUGUUUUGACUCCGAAACCAAAUGUGGUUUCUGUGUGUUUGCUGAUGAAUUUAAUCUCCAUAAAAUUCUGUACUUGUUGCAUUCAGCAACAACGAUGUUAGCCACCUGUGUUAGGCCUCUGUGCACCCUGAUCGAUAUCUUGAUCAGGGCCAAGUGACUGCCGGCACGCACCAAUAUGAUGAGCAGCAAAAUGGCAUUUAUUCACUACGAAACACAGCUUAUAUACAUUUUACCUACAAAACCGUGCUGUCAUGUCCCACUCUGAUUGGUUCAC
This 391-nucleotide long non-coding RNA is filed under the name Gallus gallus (chicken). The record is from RNAcentral. Lineage: Eukaryota; Metazoa; Chordata; Aves; Galliformes; Phasianidae.